Long non-coding RNA from Mustela erminea (ermine), 628 nucleotides. RefSeq lists it as uncharacterized. Lineage: Eukaryota; Metazoa; Chordata; Mammalia; Carnivora; Mustelidae. The transcript is spliced from 2 exons. The record is from RefSeq and is a predicted model, not a curated record.
AUGGACAGAUCUUAAAAGAGCCUCCGAAGGUGCCUGAGCCAGCCUCCGCUCAGAAGGCUUCUGGCCGUGCUCCUGGCCGCCUCCUCUCCUCACACGGCUUUCUCGCGCUUCAACACGAGCUUCAACACGUGCCUCGACACGCCUCUCAACAGCGGACGCUACGCAGCCGCAUGCGCGCGCAUGAGCGCAAGACAGACGCGCGUCCCUCUCCGACCGCCGCCAUGACACCUUCUUCUAACGACACGUCAGCUCCGUGACGGCGAGGGUGUUUAAGAACAAUUUUAUUGAGGGCCUUCUAAAGAACACACAUACCUAAUUACGCUAUCAUCUGAUUUAUCAAUUUUUCUUUAUGGAUCAUGCACUGCCCUCAUCUAUGGAAUCUGCAUAACCUAACACCGCAAAGAUUUUCUCCUAUGUCCUUUUCUAGAAAGCUCUACACUUCGGACUAUGUUUUGAGUUAAUUUUGUAUGUGCUGCAAAUUAAAAAAAAAAUACGGAUGUCCAAUUGUUUCAUCAGAAUUUGAACUGAACUAUCUUUGCACGUCUAUUUUAAGUCAUUUAACCAUAUACGUGUGGGUCUAGAUUUCUAGGUUCUCUAUGGGCAAAUAAAAAAUGUUACUUGUGCAGGG